AUGCCGUGCUGCCACUGGGUGCUCUCCGUGGCCGAGAGCAGCAGCAACAACAAAACGCCGUCAUGGCUCCACCGCCUCCACACCAAGGGCGGCCUCUCCUUCCCCUCCCACCUCCAAAUCGAUGACCUCCUCUAUGGCCGAACCCAGCUGUCCCCUCCCUCUCCUCCUCCGCCUGUCCCCCCUCCGCCGCCGCCGUCCGACCGCGAGGCCGCCGCCACCAACCCCCAAGACCCGCCCCCUAAUCCCAAGUCUAUCCCCAAGCCACCCCGCAACCCCGCCCCCCCAAACCCUAGCGAUACCAACAACAACCAUUCGCCGCCGCCGCCGUCGCCGCCGCCGUCGCCGCAGCCGCUCUCCGGCGUCAUCUCCGAAAUUUUCGCCGUCCCCUCGGCCCCGCGAUCCAAUCGCCCCCUCAAGCCCUUCCGCAAGCAGUACCGACCCCGCCCUCGCCCCAACGUCAAGUCCGCCAACAAGGACGACAAAGACAAGGCCAAGGCCAGGAAGCGCCGCCGGGCCGAUAGGGAUGCCGGUGCUGAGCACGGGGAGAGGCGCUCCAGGACGGAGGUCACCGUCAUCGACACCAGCACCGACGGGUGGAAGGCCGCCAAGGUACUCGUCCGCAGGGGCGCCAACUGGAAGAUCAGCGACAGGAAGCACUCCGAGAUCUCAGAAACUGAGGAUCUAAGCAAGGGCAAGAGGAGGGCCGGCCUUGUUGCCAAGGUACUGAGAGAUAAAAAGAAGGGGAAAGGCGCUGCCUUGCCGGGAAACAUCCAUCCUAGUAGUGGAAUUCUGAUUAAGGUACCGGAUGAUGCUGCCAUUGAAGCACCAAAAAGACCAAGAAGCUGCGAACCAGUACCAGUAGGCCAAAGUGCACCUAUUCUUCAGUUACCAAGUUCAAGUACCUGUAGCCAGCCUUGA
Molecule: ribosomal RNA, 918 nt
Filed under: Triticum aestivum (bread wheat)
Lineage: Eukaryota; Viridiplantae; Streptophyta; Magnoliopsida; Poales; Poaceae
Description: partial small subunit ribosomal RNA
Source: RNAcentral